Molecule: non-coding RNA, 4076 nt
Organism: Monodelphis domestica (gray short-tailed opossum)
Lineage: Eukaryota; Metazoa; Chordata; Mammalia; Didelphimorphia; Didelphidae
Source: RefSeq, a predicted model, not a curated record
CAAGUCAAAUUACCUCAACGAGCUUCAGUUUUCUCCCCUGUAAAAUGAGAGGGUUGGACCUAGAUGAUCUCUAAGGUAUCUUCGAACUCGUAACAUUCUAUGUUCUAAGUUCCCUUUCAAUUCUAACACUGCACGUUUUAAGGUUCCUUCUGGCUCCUACAUUCUAAGCUUUAUGUUUUAAGCUCCAAGCAUCCAAGGAGAGCAUUCUAUACAAAAUUAAAUCAGAGAGAGUGGUGGCAACGGCAAUUCUGAUCUUGGCCCACUAAGUCUCUUCCAAAGCUCAGCUCUCUUCUUAAUCUAUCUCCUUACUCCCACAUGAGAUUUCAGUCUCCUUUCGUUGGAAGAAGAAGAACCCUUAAGUCUAGGAUAUGAGAUGCCAGCAGGCACUCGUUGCUUGUCCUCAAAUGUUACCAUCUGACUUUCAGGCAUCACCAGGAUAUAUCUCAAGCUCCUGACUCUUCUGUGUGUGCGAAGACUUCCCAAAUAUCUCUAACCCACAUAAGGCAUUGUGGCAGAGUGGAAAAAUCCAUGGAUUUGGAGUAAGAAGGCCAAGAUUCAAAAUCCUGACUUGCCACUUUUGACCUGUGUGAGCUUAGGCAAGUUCCUUCCUUUCUCUUUAUUAUCUAGAAAUUGAGUUGGACUAGAUACUAAUAAUACUAAUAACAGCCAAGAUUUAUACAGCACUCACUACGUGCUAGGUACUAUGCUAAAUGUUUUACAAUUAUUAUCUCAUUUGAUUCUCACAAAAACCCUGGGGAGUAGAUGUUAUCAUCCCCAUUUUACAGAUGAAGAAAUGGAUGCAAAUAGAGGUUAAGUGACUUGCCCAGGGUCACCCAGUUAGUAUCUGGGGCUUGAUUUGAAAUCAGGUCACCCUAAUAUAUGCAUAACCCAGUGGAACUGCUUGUCAACUCUAGGAGGGGGGGAAUAAAGAGGGGAGGGAGACAACAUGAAUCAUGGAAAAAAUUUUAAAAGAAAAUCAAAAAUUAAAAAAGAAACAAGAAACAAGGAAAGUAAUCAGGUCACCUUGACUCCAAACUCAGCUCCCUUUCCAUUGUGCUGCCCAGCUACCAUAGAUGAACCCCUCCAGGUCCAAUGUUAUAUUACUAAUCGUUCUUUCUAAGAGGCUAAGGGAUGCGGAGUGCUAGACCUAGAAUCAGACAGACCCAAAGAAUGAGAUCACAAUGGAGCCUUGAAAAAAACAAGGUGUUGAUUUCUGAAAUUCACUUUUCUGAAGAUUCUCUAUUAGCUCUACUCUGAAGGGCCCGCAAAGAAAUCAGACACUGCAUGAGGUUCCCUAUAGAAAGGCACAGGGCCUUGGGCAUCAGAAGGCCUGGGUUUAAGUGCAGUUUUGUCCAUUGUUACCUAUCUGGCAUUAAGCAAGUCACUUUCCCUAAUGACAACAAUGACCAUAUCUACAAGGCCUACAAGGUUUGUUUCUUCAUAGUAAUGCAUGAUGUAGGAAGCAAGGAUACCAUCCCCCUUUGACCAAGGCUCUUUGGGGAUGAACUUUCCUCUCUGUCCACUGUGCCACCUGGCUGCCAGGAGAAGCCCUUGGAAUCUGAAAAGGAUUAUGGGUAUAUCCGACACUGAUUUGGCAUGAGGAUGAAGAGAUAGUCACUUGCUGACAGAUGGGAAUCUUUGACUAGAACCAUAUCUCUGUGGCACCAUGGAUCCUACUCUUUCCCAUUUCCAUUGAUACACUAAGUUCCUUUCUUUGAAAUCUUGGGGCUACCUUCCUGGGUCCAGCUUUUGGAAUCCAGAGCAAAGCUUGGGUGCCACUUCCUCCAAGAAAUCUUUCCUAAUUCUCUCUCCCUUCUCAAACUGCACACAAUCUCUUCCAAUUACAAGUACUUUGUGUUGCUUGGAUUUUAUUUGUGUCCAUGUUUUAUCUGUACCUCCACCCCCUACCAAGAGAAUGUAGGCUCCACCAAGGGAGGGAUGGUUUCAUUUUCUAUCUCUGAAUAUACAUAUUAUAAUCCAUCCACAAGGGUUUAUUCAGUUAUCUGAACGGAAGCAUACACUUGGCUCACAGACACAAUUCCUUCUUUUAUACCUCUUUUCUCAGGUUUGAAAAUCUUCAGGUGAUGGCAGUAUCUGAGCCAUGGAAUGCCACAGCCAGAAAAAACCAGAGAUCAGUUAGUCCAACCCCCUCACUUUACAGAGGAAGCUUUUAAUUAACACGAGAUAACAUGGAAUUAACUUCUUUUAUUUUGGCAGCCAACACUGUGAUGUCAGAGCUAAAAGAGCUAAAGUGAGCCUCAGAGGCUGCAAAGGAGAGAAGACUAGCACCCACCCACAGGCCAGGAGGUGAUGGGCUCACUCCUCUGCCAUGGCCAGAUCCUAUCCUAGAGCUCUAGAUCUGAAUCCAAUUCUAGGGUGACAUUUUUGAGGAAAGGCUGACCCACAAAAAUAGGAAAACCAGGCAUCCACAUCACAUUCUGACAUCAAAUUUAAGGAUUGGACCGCCCCAAGAUAUUUGUGUAGUACCAAGAUCCUGAAUUUCUGUGAUUCUACACUGAGACAAAGAGAAAAAGUCCCAAAUGUCAUACCCAUGAGUGAAUGGCAGAGCCUAGUCUAGACUUCAGGACUCCAGGCUCCCUGGCCAAUAGAAUUGGGGCUGCCACAGCUGAAAGCCCUAGAGGUCUCAAAAGGAAGGCUAAAGAGGAGCUGCUGAUAUUGAGCACAUGAAGAGUUUAAUGGUGGAUAAGAGCUACUGUGGUUAUAAAUCCCCCAGGAUGCCAUCCAUCAUGCUCCAUGGUUUCACAUGCCCAGUGCUGCUAAUUUCAAGCACAUUUUGCAGAACUGUGAUUACCCAUUUCCCAAGAGAAGAUGAGAAUGACUCAUUUCAGCCUAAAACUAAAUAGUGUUGGCAGUACUUAAGAGAACAUUGGUGGAAGGAAGGCUGGAGACCCAUGGGAGAGGGCAGGGCAGGUAUAAAUGAAAAGUCCUUCCAGCUUUAUCUCCUACCAUUUCCCUACAAAUACUCUUCAUCACAGCAGCCAAACUCAAGUCCAUGACCAUUGGAAGGGGAAGAGGCCUGAGAGAUCCUUCUAGGUCAGUUCUCUGACAUUUACAGAUGAGAAAAACGAAAGCCAGUGGAUGGGAUGGGCUUGCUCAAGACCACACAGAAGACACAGCUCAACCACUCCAGGAUAAUGGGUCAGCCUACACAAUAUAGCCCAAAGCUGUACUCUCCCUCCUUGGAUCAACAGCCUCAGAGUGGGAAAGAAACUGGUGCCCUCCCCAGGAAUAUUGGCAAGGUUGCUACUCCCGGGCUCCACAGAUCAACUGCUCCCCUCUCUGAUUAUGGGGAUACUAGGAUUGGCCAAGCAUGUCCUUGGUCAAAUAGGGUCUGUAGAGCCAGAGCUGAGAAUCCUAGGAACCUUCCUAAAGAAGCAUAGCCUGUCUGGGGGCACCUUCCAUGGAAUAGGAGCUGGUGGUGGCUCCAUCAUCCCAGGUUUCAUUUGCUAGCUGCCUAAUCAAAACCUAGCCUCUUCCCAUCUCUCAGAAUCUCAAUUUCAUUAUCAACAAAAUGGGGAAAACAUUUGCGCUAAUAACUUGCCAGGGUCAUUGUGAGGAAAGUACUUGGUUAAACCUUCAAACUAUAUAGAAAUAUGAGUUGUUAUUAACCUACCAUCUGUGCAUUUUUCUUUGACCUGGAAGAGCCUGAACCAGCCCAGCUCACCACAGGGAAUGUCAUUAAGCAUGGACUUCCCAAUUAUAUUUAUCAAAGCACAGUCAGUUGGCCAUCAUAUUUGUCCCUGCAGCAAGAGCCCAUUUAGGGCUGGGUUUUUUCCCAGAGAAGCUGGCAUCUCAAAGGCACCUUAGAGAAAACAGAACAAGAUCUACUCAAGAAAGGAGAGUCCCAAGGAGAUAAUGAAUGAGCUCUCGAGUGGAUCCCUUCCAACUCUAAGCCACCAUAGUUCCCUGGUACACUUAGCAAUGAGUUAAGAAAGAAUGUCACAAGGGAAGAGAACUGAUAUAAGGCUCAACUUCUUCUUUAGUUAAGAUCUGUGUGACUUUUGUGUGCAUUAUUUUACCACUCUUCUGCCUCAGUUUCCUUGUCUGUCAUAUGG